Molecule: ribosomal RNA, 743 nt
Filed under: uncultured Micrococcus sp.
Lineage: Bacteria; Bacillati; Actinomycetota; Actinomycetes; Micrococcales; Micrococcaceae
Description: bacterial SSU rRNA
Rfam family: Bacterial small subunit ribosomal RNA
Source: RNAcentral
CAUGCAGUCGACGAUGAAGCCCAGCUUGCUGGGUGGAUUAGUGGCGAACGGGUGAGUAACACGUGAGUAACCUGCCCUUAACUCUGGGAUAAGCCUGGGAAACUGGGUCUAAUACCGGAUAGGAGCGUCCACCGCAUGGUGGGUGUUGGAAAGAUUUAUCGGUUUUGGAUGGACUCGCGGCCUAUCAGCUUGUUGGUGAGGUAAUGGCUCACCAAGGCGACGACGGGUAGCCGGCCUGAGAGGGUGACCGGCCACACUGGGACUGAGACACGGCCCAGACUCCUACGGGAGGCAGCAGUGGGGAAUAUUGCACAAUGGGCGCAAGCCUGAUGCAGCGACGCCGCGUGAGGGAUGACGGCCUUCGGGUUGUAAACCUCUUUCAGUAGGGAAGAAGCGAAAGUGACGGUACCUGCAGAAGAAGCACCGGCUAACUACGUGCCAGCAGCCGCGGUAAUACGUAGGGUGCGAGCGUUAUCCGGAAUUAUUGGGCGUAAAGAGCUCGUAGGCGGUUUGUCGCGUCUGUCGUGAAAGUCCGGGGCUUAACCCCGGAUCUGCGGUGGGUACGGGCAGACUAGAGUGCAGUAGGGGAGACUGGAAUUCCUGGUGUAGCGGUGGAAUGCGCAGAUAUCAGGAGGAACACCGAUGGCGAAGGCAGGUCUCUGGGCUUGUAACUGACGCUGAGGAGCGAAAGCAUGGGGAGCGAACAGGAUUAGAUACCCUGGUAGUCCAUGCCGUAAACGUUG